Molecule: ribosomal RNA, 291 nt
Filed under: uncultured bacterium
Lineage: Bacteria
Description: partial 16S ribosomal RNA
Rfam family: Bacterial small subunit ribosomal RNA
Source: RNAcentral
GUGCCAGCAGCCGCGGUAAUACGUAGGGGGCAAGCGUUGUCCGGAAUUAUUGGGCGUAAAGCGCGCGCAGGCGGUUUGUUAAGUCUGAUGUAUAAACCCAAGGCUCAACUUUGGGAGGCAUUGGAAACUGGGAGACUGGAGUGUAGGAGAGGAAAGUGGAAUUCCACGUGUAGCGGUGAAAUGCGUAGAGAUGUGGAGGAACACCAGUGGCGAAGGCGACUUUCUGGCCUAUAACUGACGCUGAGGCGCGAAAGCGUGGGGAGCAAACAGGAUUAGAAACCCGGGUAGUCC